Molecule: ribosomal RNA, 856 nt
Filed under: Staphylococcus aureus
Lineage: Bacteria; Bacillati; Bacillota; Bacilli; Caryophanales; Staphylococcaceae
Description: partial 23S ribosomal RNA
Rfam family: Bacterial large subunit ribosomal RNA
Source: RNAcentral
UCGAAAAUGUUGUCUCUCUUGAGUGGAUCCUGAGUACGACGGAGCACGUGAAAUUCCGUCGGAAUCUGGGAGGACCAUCUCCUAAGGCUAAAUACUCUCUAGUGACCGAUAGUGAACCAGUACCGUGAGGGAAAGGUGAAAAGCACCCCGGAAGGGGAGUGAAAUAGAACCUGAAACCGUGUGCUUACAAGUAGUCAGAGCCCGUUAAUGGGUGAUGGCGUGCCUUUUGUAGAAUGAACCGGCGAGUUACGAUUUGAUGCAAGGUUAAGCAGUAAAUGUGGAGCCGUAGCGAAAGCGAGUCUGAAUAGGGCGUUUAGUAUUUGGUCGUAGACCCGAAACCAGGUGAUCUACCCUUGGUCAGGUUGAAGUUCAGGUAACACUGAAUGGAGGACCGAACCGACUUACGUUGAAAAGUGAGCGGAUGAACUGAGGGUAGCGGAGAAAUUCCAAUCGAACCUGGAGAUAGCUGGUUCUCUCCGAAAUAGCUUUAGGGCUAGCCUCAAGUGAUGAUUAUUGGAGGUAGAGCACUGUUUGGACGAGGGGCCCCUCUCGGGUUACCGAAUUCAGACAAACUCCGAAUGCCAAUUAAUUUAACUUGGGAGUCAGAACAUGGGUGAUAAGGUCCGUGUUCGAAAGGGAAACAGCCCAGACCACCAGCUAAGGUCCCAAAAUAUAUGUUAAGUGGAAAAGGAUGUGGCGUUGCCCAGACAACUAGGAUGUUGGCUUAGAAGCAGCCAUCAUUUAAAGAGUGCGUAAUAGCUCACUAGUCGAGUGACACUGCGCCGAAAAUGUACCGGGGCUAAACAUAUUACCGAAGCUGUGGAUUGUCCUUUGGACAAUGGUAGGAGAGCGUUCU